UUGAUCAAAGGUUAAUGACAUUUUUGUAAAGAAGACACCCUGGGAGUUUUAACUAGCUAUAUAAACCCCUGAAAGAAGCACUUAGUAAAUCCAAGGUAGUCUUCAAGUGGGCGCUGAGGGCACUGAAGAGUUCCAGAGAGACCCUGAAGUCAACAGUGUUAUCUUAAGAAUAUACAGUAUGGAUCACAACAAAAGAGUUUGGCAAUGCGUACUGGUAUGCAUCGGUAUAUUAUAUCCUUUCAUUGUGAGUUCAAUGAACAUAAACGGAACUCAAAGUUUAAAUGGAAUGACAAUUGUGGGACAAAAACAAGAGGACGUAAAUAUAUCAGGUGGAAUUGAAAAUGAAAGCGGAAAUAAAACUGGUGAAAUUGAAAAGAAAAAUGCUUCUAUCUUCGUAAAAAAGGAACAACUGAUCCUGGAAAAUGCAUCAAAAAGCGCAUAUCUCGAUAUAAACCAAAUUGAACGAAAUGUUUUAACUUGGCUGCCAUCUGUUUUGGGAGUAAUAAUGACGGGAAUAAUAUUUUCACUGUUAAUGCUGAUCUUACUUGUAAAAAAACAUCGCAAUAAAAUACUUCUUCCUGAAGACAAAAAUUUGCUUCCGCAACAUUAAACAGCAUUAAACGUUUUACUGGAUACAUUCAAGACGAUUACAACGAACUGCAUUACGUUUUAUAGUGUAGUCUGGGGAACACGGUCGGUACUUGUAAAAUGUGGAACACUUUCAUACAGAAACAAUUACAUGAGCUUGUUAUUAACGUUUUUAAAAGAAUUAUUGUUAGUUGUCUAUUUUUGCCAUAAGCAAUAAAUAUGGUAUGAUUGAAGAAAAGGUAUUGUACCAAAUAAAUACAUAGUUACAUCGACUGUCGUAAGGAAGUGCAUCUAUAAAUACAUGGUUGGUAGGCAUUUUGUAAGGUUUUGCUUUUACUUAAAUCCAAGAACACACUAUUUAAGUGUGAUAUUUUGCAUCCAUUGGUUUUGAUUUGAUAUAAUAUCGUUUUUUUUAGUUCUUAGUAUACGAAUUAUAUUAUAUAUGCAAGCUUUAGGGAUUAAAAAAUGUAUUGUUCUGUAAUUAUAUACUGUAAAAUACUACUUUGUAUAUCCUUUUGUCUGCAAAUAUUGUUGAUUGACCACUGUUGUUUUAAAUGCAUGGUGUGGACGUUAUCCUCUACAUCUAUCAGGGCCAUAACGUGAGCAGUUUUGAUAGAAAAAGGUUUUAAAAAAUGAAACUGUAUUUUGGAUAUUUUAGUAUAAUACUUGGCUUUAACAUGAACAGUGAUACAUGUAUAGACAUUUUGAUUUUGCAUUUAAAUGCGAUCUUAAGAUAACUCCCUCCCCCAGAGAUAGUUGUAUCAGUAGAUAAUAACAAACAAAUAAAAACAAAAUGGUGUAAAUAUAUAC
Long non-coding RNA from Magallana angulata, 1398 nucleotides. RefSeq lists it as uncharacterized. The transcript has 3 exons. The record is from RefSeq and is a predicted model, not a curated record. NCBI's taxonomy places the organism in Eukaryota, Metazoa, Mollusca, Bivalvia, Ostreida, Ostreidae.